RNAcentral lists this long non-coding RNA (590 nucleotides) under Triticum aestivum (bread wheat). RNAcentral's name for it is "long non-coding RNA (TAES_LNC024610)". Lineage: Eukaryota; Viridiplantae; Streptophyta; Magnoliopsida; Poales; Poaceae. The record is from RNAcentral.
UCCGUGCUGGACCAGAAGGUGUGGUUCCGCCCGCUCGAGGACGUCGAGAAGCCCCCCGUCGCCUGAUCGCCGGCGACCACCAAGACGACGAUAGCCCAGCUCGACAUCUCUAUCACUCCGCUUAGCUGGGCUCGACCACCCACCUAAUUAUAAUCUACAGUAGUGUGCUUGUGCUAUAGUACAGACAUGGCAGGCACCAGAACCAGUAGUAGUAUUGCGGUGUUGCUGCCUGGAAUAAGAGCGAGCAGAAGAUGUGUGAUGAUGAUGAUGACACUGAUGUUGGUGGCUGUGAUGUACUCCCGUCUUAAACCGGUACUAUUGCAAGUGUUUGGUAACCGCUGCGUCUCUUGAUUGUGCAAAUUUUGCUCUUUUGGGGACGUUCUCUGUCAGGCAUUCAGUAUAGACAGGGACUUGAACACAUCGUGACUGAGCUGCAUUUGGCUGGGGUUUGAUCAACGUGUAUCACGCUGUGAAUUUGCUGUGUGGUCCAGACCCAUAUUUUUUGAAACUCGGCAAAAGAUUUGCCAUUUUCAUUGAAUAAAAAUAAGGAAGAAGGUUUAGAGUUUGUGGCCAACGGCCGAAUUACAAAA